AGGAGGGGGGGGCGAGGUGCGGGUGGAGUCGGUAGGGGGAGAGGGUGGGCCGGAAGCAGUGGGCGUAAAGUGCGUGGAGGGGGGCCGUUAAUCCCGCGGGGAAAGUCCAGGGAUCGACCCUGGGAUGCGGGUGGAGACUGGCGGGCUUGAAUGCGGAAGAGGGGAGUGGAAUUCCUGGUGUAGCGGUGAAAUGCGCAGAUAUCAGGAGGAACACCAAUGGCGAAGGCAGCUCACUGGGACGGUAUUGACGCUGAGACGCGAAAGCGUGGGGAGCAAACAGGAUUAGAUACCCUAGUAGUC
Molecule: ribosomal RNA, 300 nt
Filed under: uncultured Palaeococcus sp.
Lineage: Archaea; Methanobacteriati; Methanobacteriota; Thermococci; Thermococcales; Thermococcaceae
Description: partial 16S ribosomal RNA
Rfam family: Bacterial small subunit ribosomal RNA (bases 52-300)
Source: RNAcentral